This 497-nucleotide ribosomal RNA is filed under the name uncultured bacterium. Its description in RNAcentral is "partial 16S ribosomal RNA". It matches the Rfam family "Bacterial small subunit ribosomal RNA", at positions 28 to 507 of the family's 1533-position model. The record is from RNAcentral.
GAUGAACGCUGGCGGCGUGCCUAAUACAUGCAAGUCGAGCGAACGGACGAGAAGCUUGCUUCUCUGAUGUUAGCGGCGGACGGGUGAGUAACACGUGGAUAACCUACCUAUAAGACUGGGAUAACUUCGGGAAGCCGGAGCUAAUACCGGAUAAUAUUUUGAACCGCAUGGUUCAAAAGUGAAAGACGGUCUUGCUGUCACUUAUAGAUGGAUCCGCGCUGCAUUAGCUAGUUGGUAAGGUAACGGCCUACCAAGGCAACGAUGCAUAGCCGACCUGAGAGGGUGAUCGGCCACACUGGAACUGAGACACGGUCCAGACUCCUACGGGAGGCAGCAGUAGGGAAUCUUCCGCAAUGGGCGAAAGCCUGACGGAGCAACGCCGCGUGAGUGAUGAAGGUCUUCGGAUCGUAAAACUCUGUUAUUAGGGAAGAACAUAUGUGUAAGUAACUGUGCACAUCUUGACGGUACCUAAUCAGAAAGCCACGGCUAACUACGUG